This 75-nucleotide transfer RNA is filed under the name Spirochaetes bacterium ADurb.BinA120. Its description in RNAcentral is "tRNA-Met". It matches the Rfam family "tRNA". From Rfam's summary of the family: Transfer RNA (tRNA) molecules are approximately 80 nucleotides in length. Their secondary structure includes four short double-helical elements and three loops (D, anti-codon, and T loops). The record is from RNAcentral. Lineage: Bacteria; Pseudomonadati; Spirochaetota.
GGGCCCAUAGCUCAGUCGGUUAGAGCAUCUGACUCAUAAUCAGAGGGUCCAAGGUUCGAAUCCUUGUGGGCCCAC